AGUGCCACAUAUGAGUCAGUAGGUGGCAGAAAGGAGAGGGGCUAAGUCCCCUCAAUGUUCUGACCUAUGGACACCUGAAUGAUUAGUAGCCCAAUAGU
This 98-nucleotide small nucleolar RNA is filed under the name Mus pahari (shrew mouse). RNAcentral describes it as "predicted gene, 22506 (MGP_PahariEiJ_G0033992.1)". It matches the Rfam family "Small nucleolar RNA SNORA17", at positions 33 to 132 of the family's 132-position model. From Rfam's summary of the family: snoRNA ACA 17 belongs to the H/ACA family of snoRNAs and is predicted to guide pseudouridylation of the 28S rRNA at positions U4659 and U4598. It shares the same host gene together with ACA43. Lineage: Eukaryota; Metazoa; Chordata; Mammalia; Rodentia; Muridae. The record is from RNAcentral.